UCCAUUUCAUGCAUUAGAAAAGAGCUUGAAAUAGAUUUAUAAUGGUAUGACACAGUAUAUUGAAUUAUGUGUCGUGUAUUGUAUAUAGGCAGUGAGCCCUCUAACAAGGGUAAAGACGUUGUAUCAGAGCACUAAGAAUAGGAGUAUUUCAAACUCCUGAUACUGUGAGUAACCUUACUAUCGUCUUAAUUAUCUAAAGUGGUUUUUAUCCGAUUUUGUGAUUUUAUGGAAAAUGAGUUUAAAUGGCAAAUCUUUAUGUUUUAUGAGCAAAAUGUGAUUAAAUGAAAUGAUUGUAUAAAAUUUUCUUGAAAUUGAAUGAUGGUUUUGGAAAAUGGAGUAAUUGGAGACUAAUUGCUGUGUUAUAAAUCAUGGUUUGAAUUGAAUGGCUUAUGAUAAUAUUGGCAUGAAUGGUUGAUUUGGUAAAUGUGUUGAAAAUGUAUGAACUGUUAAUUUACCUUGAGAGGCUGUAAAAUAAAAUAAUUGCCAUGUCAUGCUAUCGCAAAUUUUAUUAAAUUGGUAGGUUAUAAAUUUGUCGCUGCAGUGAACGGGUUCCAUGGACCAGCGUAUUAGAGGGGCAUGGUAACCGUAUUAUAUUCAUACCUUAGUAUGAGAGGUGCAGAUGGAUAACUCUUGAGGUUAACACUUUAGAGUUCACUUCACGCCAAACUACCACGUGAGGGUGAACUCAGCCAACGCCAAGGAAUGGUUAUGUUUUCAAAAUAAAAACAUGAUUUAUGUGUACAUAACUUUUUAACAGCCUUGGUGGACUUGGUUGGGAUAGCCCUCAAUCAAGGUAUCCCUAAUAACUGAGUAUGAGAAUGAUUUUGGCACGAGCCAAAGUUUUAAGAAAUUCAUAAGCCAUGUUGAUUACUCAAUUUAUAUGAAUUGAUUUUAUUUGGUUGAAAUGAGUUGAAAGGUGAUGAAUUACAAUAUGUUAAACUAUUUUAUUUGUUUCCAUUUACUCAACUUUAAAUAUUUUAGAUGGUAUUUGUUUACUUACUGAGAUUAUAUAAUCUCACCACCCUCAUUUCCACCCAUUUCAAGCUCAGGAUAGUCGGUAGAUAGCUCAUUUCGUUGAGAGCUAUAGUUGGAUUUGCAUCUUCCAAACUGUAGGUUCACAGUCUUCCUUACUUUUAGUUAUUCGGGGGCCUACUAGUUAUUGUAAAUUAAAUUAAAUACUCUAGCUUACUGUGUUACAAUAUGUAUGAAUUUAUUUUGCUUUUACGCUGCAAAAAUUAUUUACGUAUAACUCUAAAAAUAUUGUUUUAUAGGAAAAUAGAAUAUUUUAUUGAAUAUUUCUUUUAUUUCUUUUAUUUUUUAAUUAUAUCCAAAUAAACAUAAUUUCAUUUUAAAUGAAGGUUUUAGAUGUUUAAACUUAUCUUUGAUUAUGAAUUAUGUGUUUUUUACUCGCAUACUACGUUUUUAGCAGAUUUAGAGAUUUUUGAGGAAAAAUGACCAAAAUGCCCCUGUGAGAAAAAAAUUGUUUUUUUAUUGUUUUGAUUUGGAAAUAGUUUAUAAUCUCUCAAAACAUAAUUUUAGUGACUAAUACUCACAGGAGAAGCGAGAAAAACUGAUGUUAAGCCUUACGAGGUUUCGAUUGACAUUUUGUGAAUGAAUGUCUAUAGGGACGUCGUGACGGUUGUCACGAGCUCGAUGGGAGUUCUGGAUCGUGACACCUUACUUGAUUUCUUGUAAUUCUAAGAAGUUCUAGUCUUUCCCUUCAUUUAGUUGAUUAUGAGCUCUACAAGCUCUAAAAGGUUGAACAAAAAAUUGUUUUAGUACUAUUCACCCUUUUCUAGCACUCCAACGGGACCAAUAUAUCAUACAUAACGUUAUCCGUAUAAAAUGCCAAACAUAGGCUACAUUAAUAUAACAUGUUCGUUAUCCAUAAACAUAAUCAAAUCCAUAAAUAUAAACAUAUGACCGAUUUGUUAGUGGAACGUGACUGGCCCUCUAGGCAUCUAAUGGCUGCUGAACACCUAUGAAGGAAUGAAGAUUGGACACCAGUAUCCGUGACAUUAGCUUUUAUCAAUAUGCUAUCACUGAUAUGCAACAAAAUAAAUGGGAAAAAUAAUGUGUGAGUCACAAAUUCUUCGUAAGUGGAUACGGGAAAGGGACAAGCUAGGGGAUAAGAGUGUUUUGUAAACAUGCAGUUAUAAUCUCAUGCCAAUUAUAAUCAAUUUAAACUUUAAUCUCAUGAAACAUGGUGUUUAAACAUGUUUGGAAAUAGCAUAAUUGAUGUAACCAACUGUGAAUGACCACUAGAAAACCUUUUUACCUAUGAAAAGCUUUCAAACAAGUCAAUGCAUUCGAUUCUGGAACUCAUUUAUUGAUAUAAUGAACAUCUAUUGAUAGAUUGGAAACACAAUGCUUCUUGUGGCAUUUUGUAUGCUAUCUAUCGAUAGAUGUUCUACAUUUAUCAUAGAUAGCCUCUGAACCUCUAUUUUAUGGGCAAAAUUGUGUAUUUUUUCCAUUCUUUAGGUCCUUUUACCUCUUAGAACUAUCUUUACGACUCAUUUCAUUUCUCCAAUCACAUACUCAUGCCAAUAUCGAGUAUAGAUCAUAACCAUUAUUCAAGAUGAACUUAACAUGCAUUAUAUCAUAAAGAUAACAAUCAUAAUGAUCCCAUUAACAUUUACCUCACACAUUGUGAUGGUAUAACCCCCAUCAACCUUGCGUUCGCAAUAUACAACCCCAUUACACCUUCGGCGUUUAUGAUGGAUCAUAGGAGUGAAGUUGUCAUUACACCCCGUGUGAGUGGAAUCAAUCGCACUGGUUAAGCUUUUAUACUCAUAGCAUUUAGUAUGAGGAAUGUCCAGCACAUACAUGCUUACUCAUCUCAUAAGGUAUAUGGAAUUUCCAUAUCAUAUACACAUCUCAUGGCAUUUCCUCAUGCCUACUCUUUCAACACAUUGUAUGUAACACACGCAUUACAUACAUAGUCUCAUAGCAUUCGUCAUGCUUCCUCAAACAUCUCAUGUAGUAUAUGGAAAACACAAACAUAAUAUCUUAGAUGAAAAUCAUCAUACAAGACAUCACACAUUUCAUGCCUUAACAUAUCUAGCAUACACCUCAUACAUUCAUACAUUAAUCUUAAAUCAUAUCUCGUACCCACACUAGUCUGAAAACCGGAGUAAUCAAGUGGACUCAAACAUAAGGUGCUUGUCCCCUUUUGUUGAAAACUAAUACAUAAUAUCAUAUUUACGUACAUAGUAGGUUGAAAAUGAAUUUUAAAAUAUUUUUCUUAUCCAUAAAUAAAAUUUCAGUUCAUAAGUAUUUGCACAAAAUCAUAUUCACCAAUAAUCCUCAAAUCAUGCUUCAACUUUACAUAUCAAAAUAAUUUUGAAAGUGCUGUAUCCACUCAUCUUAUAGGGAAGCUUGAUUACAACUCCAAUUCCGUGUAAUUUGGUGUAUUGUCAAGAGUUCCUAUCACACAAUAUUCAUAACAAUCAAUUUCUAAACUAAUAAUCUUGGAAUAAUUAAUAUAGCAACUUAAAAAUCUAUUUGCUUUCGACUAUAGCCACUUUCUCUCUCUAGAUUAAGCUAGAAAUGCAUAAAUUUUCUAAACUUACCUUAUAUGAGCAUAGAUGUUGAAGGAAAUCUCAAAACCUUAGCUUUAAUCCUUAACAAAAAUUUCUAGGCAAAAAUAAUAAAUUUGUAGCGUUAAAAGUGUGAGCUUUAAAGGUUUUAUAGGAUAAAAAUGUCAUUUUUAGCUUUAAACUUCAAAACUAAGAUCAAAAUCAUCAAAAGCAGCAAUUUUCAUUAAAAAUGGGUUGAAAAGGUUUUAGAGUGGUUUUACCUUUCCAAAAACAGCUAAGGGUUGAGAAACCCUUGGGUAUUGGGUCAUAUUUAUAGUUUGGGAAGUGAAAAUAUGCUUUUACCCCUUUUAUUUUUUUUAAAACGACGUCAUCUAUUGAUAGAUCGAGGCUAUCUAUCGAUAGAUGAGCUUUAGAACCCUUUCUGGAAGCUUUUUGCUUGCUAACUUGCAAAGAUAAUUAAGAAAUAUCCAUAAUCAUCUUACCUUGCUUGACUUUUAACUCAUUCAAAAAUAUAACUUUAAACUUUUCAUUAAUCCAAGAUAACAAAUCUACCAUAUGAAAUUCAAAUGCCAUUAAUUCUUUGAACUUAAAUUUUUAAGCAUAAAUAGAGAAAACCUUACCUAAGCUUUGGAUUUCCAGCUACCAUUAACUACAAGUCUAAGUUAACAAAUAACAUCCAUUUACUUUCAUAAACCUCUAUAGAUACCUCAUACAAGCUUUACAUAAUGCAUAAGGAUUAUAACACGUCAAACUUAUUUAUUUCUUAUGUAUACCACUCCACCAAUUGCUAUUUGAAGCAUUCUUUUUACAAUUCUGCUCAACUAAGCUUAAUACCCCUUUUUAACAAUUUUUCUCAUGCUCAUGGUAAUUUAGUUCAGCUUAACCUAUCUAGGUAAGCUCAUCUAAAUAAAUCCCAUUUCCAUUAUAGAACAGGACUAAUAAUUCUCCAACUCCAUACACAAUCUCAUUAACUCACUUUAGCAAUUUAUUUUCUAACCUUAAUUCACCAUUUCAAAAAUAUAAUUCAAUUGUCCCUUACCUUAGAGAAUCAAGGUAGCUUAGUAUCAAAUCAUAAUUUCUAUCUUGCCAAAUGGAAGUGAGCUGCAAACACAAAAAUAAAAUUUUAAACUAAUUAAUUUGAUUCCAAACAACCUAACAAAAUGCUUUCUCUUGACUCACUUACGAUCAUUCCAACAAAGCUUCAAUUACUAUUUCUGUUUGUUAAACUCCAAUCGAGCUCUCCUUUUCUUAUUUUGCAUUUUUCAAACUCCAACUGAGCUAUCCAUUUAAACAAAUCGAACCUCUAUCUUUGUUUUUCAUCAAACCAAGCUCCCAUAUUUGUUUUCUUCAUUUCUUUAUCCUUUUGUUUGUCUUUUGAUUUCCAUGGUUUAGUAUUCUCUUUUCUAAGCUUUCAAAGGGAAGAACGACAACAACUUUUCUAGGGAAUUGGAGCUACAAAUCAAUUAAGAAUUCAAGAGCAACUGAGAGAGAUUAGCAAUCAACCAGACUACGACAUUAAUUUAUUUCUCUCCUUUGGUGUUAUUCUUAUUUUCUUGUAUUGAAUUCAUGACCAAAUUUCUUUGGAUAGUGUUUUAUUUAGAUAUUAUUAACUAAUUUGUUUAUCUAGGAUUAUGGUGGAUUUCAACAUGUAAUCUGAAUAUUGGUUUUUCUGUUAUUUAUCAUGAAUGGGUAUCGUUUUACUUAUUCAAAUAUGUUCUUCAUGCCUUUAAUUGCCAGAUCAACAAUUAAUUGAUUUGUGAAUCUAAUUGAGACUCAACAGAGAGAUUUUAGGUUGGAUUAAGAUUUGAAUAGUGUAUGUUCAUGUCACUUAAGUGAUCUGAUUCGCGAUUUGGGUAAACAUACGUCAAUUGUCAUGCAUAGCCAAAUUAGGAUACUUGCUUAAUGAACUUAAUUUAAUUGAUCCCUAUAGACAUAUAAUGAGCUGAUUAAGUUAAGUAUUUGUACAAGCAUCUUGAUGAAGCCUUGUCCAUAGCUUGGGAUUCUAGGAUUCUAGGUUAGUAAAAUCACCCAGGAAACAUAAAUAACUACAAAAGCUGGUAUCAGAUGAAAUGUUGAAUAAACCUAUGAUCUUAGGUUUUUAAUCUACUGUUUUUCUUAACAAACUUAAUUUUUGCUAAUUAAUUUUGUAUUUCUUUCAAAUUUUGUUUUUAUUAGCUUUUCAAUUUUUUGAUUUCUUAAAUAAGGUUAAUGUCAUGACCCAAAUCUAGGGGUUCGUGAUAGGUACACGACUAAAGCAAGCAAGCUCAAUAGACCCAAGUAAGCUUCAGAAUCCAAAAUCAUAUAACUGUGAGACCUCGACCUCUAUAGGCUCGUAACUAGGUGUAGACGCGAUAAUACAAGUCAGGGGUAAUUUCAUUAUUUCCUUAGUGAGCCCCUAGAAGUAGGCUUUCAAACAAUAUUAAGGCCUAAGUAGGCCUAAGGCAUAAAUGAAUGAUGAAAAUAAGGGUAAAAUGACGAAGGAAAUAAAAAUAAUGAUGAUUUCCAAGGUAGGGGCAAAAUAGUCAUUUUUCAUCUUGAGUAGAAAUUUUAAGUUUUCAUGAAUCCGAGUAUUUCUAGACUAUUAUGAACUUUGUCCUAGUGUCAAAAGAGUAAAAAGAUUACACCAAGGAUUGGAGGAGAACAAGCCAACUUGUUAAGAGCAUUUUCGUAAUUUGAGUAAAGAUUGGAUAAGUUUUAGCUAUAAAUAUAAUUUUUCCAGCAGCUUCUUCUUCUUCUUCCUCCCAUUUCACGUUUCGUUCAUCCUCCAUGGAAGCUUGUUUUGAAACCUCUAUAACUUCUCUUAAGCUAGCUCAAAUUUUCAUGCUUUUGUGAACCCUUUCAUAGAACCUUUUGUGCUCUUUCACUCUCUCACUUUAAAACCCUUGAAAAGUCUUACUUCCAUACUUCCUCUCACUAGCUAGGUGUUUUACAAAGAGAAAGAGGGAGCUUUUAUAAUAGCUUGGAAGAAUUUUGAAAAAAAAUUCAAUUGCAAACCCACCAAGGUGAAUGAACUUGCAUUAAAAUGCUUUGGGAUUAGGGCAUAUGUGUUUGAUUAAAUCCAUUGAAAUAUUUUAUCUGUCUUUCUCUAAAAUAUGCAUGGGAACAAGCUUUUAAUGAAACGUUUUGCGUUGUGGAAUGCGACUGUGAUGAAUCCAUGUGCUCUGUGUUAUGUUGAUAUAAAUAUAUCUAAAUAUAUAUGAUAUGUAUUGAUAGUAAUACUGUUUGUAAUUAAAACCAAGUAUGUGCAUGAUGUGGAGGAUGCACACGGCGAUUUUAGUUGUGCAUGAUGUGGGGGAUGCACAUGAUGACUCCAGCUAUGUGCGUGAUGUGGGGGUUGCACAUGAGCUGGGUGAAGCGGUGGUGGUAUUGGUGGUUAUGUAUGUAUAUAUAUAUAUAUAUAUAUAUAUAUAUAUAUAUAUAUAUANUAUUUAUGCAAUAGAAAGUUCAUGAAUAUGGUAUAUGGUUGUAAUGUAUGUGAAAUCUUGCAUGUUGAACCUUGGAAAUUGUUGAGUAUUUUCAAGUUGAUUUUGUCAUUGCAACAGAAUGGCCUUUGCUUAACAUAAUGAGGAUUUUUCUUGGUGUUCUGUUUCUUGCUGCAACGAGAAACUCUCGAGUUGGGAGGCUCGCUGCAGCCUUGUAACUCACUGCAGCGAGAUGUCUACAGGAAAUUUUGUUGUAACGAGAAUUCAUCCUCGCUGCAACGAGAAACCUUCUGUUGUGCUUACUACCUUGUUUGGUUGCUGCCCUAUUUUUCACUUCUUUAGCACCAUUGUUGAUCAUGGACUUCCAACAUUAAAGAAUUAAUUGAUUAAGUUUGCAUGAGGGGUUUUAGUGAGAAACCCUUGGCCAGUUGAGAAACUCUCAGCCGAUAAAAUAAUUUGAGCCCAAAUUUUGCUGCAGAAUGCCUUUCCGUUACAGCGAGAACCUGUCAUUUCACUUGACUUGCUUGAAUGCUACUAAAGUUUUCACUCUUCAAAUUCUUUGUUAUGUAUGAUCCUUCAUCAUCAAGUGAUUAGCCAAUUAAGGGUUUAAUGAGGGGUUUAAAUAAGAAUUAAACUAAAUUGCAUUGUUUUUGAAAAUAAGUGCAUCAUGAUUUCUUAAACUUUUCUUAUCUUUUGCUUGUUCCCUUCCUUUGUUCACUCACUAGGUUUAUACUCAUUGUUUUCAACUUCAUGUUUUCAGAUCAAGAGAUAGUCGGUAACUAGGUUGAGGUGUCCUCAUAGAUUCGUUUCCUUGGUAGGUAUCUCGGCAUUCAAUAGUUGUACUUUCGCUCGAGUCUCUCCGCUGGAAGUCGAGUAUCCCUUUUGUUGUGUAUAGACAAACCCGAUGUAAAUUAUUAAGAUGUAUGUUUUAGACGAUAUAUGUAUAUUUUGAUUGGUAAUGCCACUAUGAAUUGGCAAUGGUUAGCAUUAUUUUGAAUUGGAUUUAUAAAAUGUGACUUUAGCAACUUUUGAUGGAAUGAUGGAUAGGUCAUAUAAAUAAGCUUUCUUGAGCUUAGUGGGC
This 8042-nucleotide long non-coding RNA is filed under the name Theobroma cacao (cacao). RNAcentral describes it as "long non-coding RNA (TCAC_LNC003302)". Lineage: Eukaryota; Viridiplantae; Streptophyta; Magnoliopsida; Malvales; Malvaceae. The record is from RNAcentral.